This is a small nucleolar RNA of Triplophysa rosa, 133 nucleotides long. RefSeq annotates it as small nucleolar RNA SNORA47. Lineage: Eukaryota; Metazoa; Chordata; Actinopteri; Cypriniformes; Nemacheilidae. The record is from RefSeq and is a predicted model, not a curated record. The transcript has a single exon.
UGGAGGAUUGAGAAAGUUAAGCAGAAUGUUACUGUACUGCGUUAACUGGUUAUAACCUCCUAGAAAAAUGACAAGUUUUGCUUUGCCUUGUAUUUUCCUUUACUAGUGUCAUUGCAAUACUUGUCUACAGUUU